RNAcentral lists this ribosomal RNA (251 nucleotides) under uncultured bacterium. RNAcentral describes it as "partial 16S ribosomal RNA". It matches the Rfam family "Bacterial small subunit ribosomal RNA", at positions 524 to 776 of the family's 1533-position model. The record is from RNAcentral.
GACGGGGGGGGCAAGUGUUCUUCGGAAUGACUGGGCGUAAAGGGCACGUAGGCGGUGAAUCGGGUUGAAAGUGAAAGUCGCCAAAAAGUGGCGGAAUGCUCUCGAAACCAAUUCACUUGAGUGAGACAGAGGAGAGUGGAAUUUCGUGUGUAGGGGUGAAAUCCGUAGAUAUCGGGAGGAACACCUGUGGCGAAGGCGGCCCCCUGGUUGGAUACUGACGCUGAGACGCGAAAGCGUGGGGAGCAAACAGG